This 429-nucleotide ribosomal RNA is filed under the name Pseudomonadota bacterium. Its description in RNAcentral is "Proteobacteria bacterium partial 16S ribosomal RNA". It matches the Rfam family "Bacterial small subunit ribosomal RNA", at positions 355 to 776 of the family's 1533-position model. The record is from RNAcentral. Lineage: Bacteria; Pseudomonadati; Pseudomonadota.
UGGGGAAUAUUGGACAAUGGGCGAAAGCCUGAUCCAGCCAUGCCGCGUGUGUGAAGAAGGUCUUCGGAUUGUAAAGCACUUUAAGUUGGGAGGAAGGGCAGUAAGCGAAUACCUUGCUGUUUUGACGUUACCGACAGAAUAAGCACCGGCUAACUCUGUGCCAGCAGCCGCGGUAAUACAGAGGGUGCAGGCGUUAAUCGGAAUUACUGGGCGUAAAGCGCGCGUAGGUGGUUCGUUAAGUUGAAUGUGGAAGCCCCGGGCUCAACCUGGGAACUGCAUCCAAAACUGGCGAGCUAGAGUAGGGCAGAGGGUGGUGGAAUUUCCUGUGUAGCGGUGAAAUGCGUAGAUAUAGGAAGGAACACCAGUGGCGAAGGCGACCACCUGGGCUCAUACUGACACUGAGGUGCGAAAGCGUGGGGAGCAAACAGG